RNAcentral lists this ribosomal RNA (118 nucleotides) under Colletotrichum chlorophyti. The record is from RNAcentral. Lineage: Eukaryota; Fungi; Ascomycota; Sordariomycetes; Glomerellales; Glomerellaceae.
ACAUACGACCAUACCCAUUGGAAAACUCGGGAUCCCGUCCGCUCUCCCAUAGAUAAGCCAAUGAGNUGGAUUAGUAGUUGGGUCGGUGACGACCAGCGAAUACCUGGUGUUGUAUGUA